Molecule: ribosomal RNA, 468 nt
Filed under: uncultured bacterium
Lineage: Bacteria
Description: partial 16S ribosomal RNA
Rfam family: Bacterial small subunit ribosomal RNA
Source: RNAcentral
GACGAACGCUGGCGGCGUGCUUAACACAUGCAAGUCGAACGGAAAGGCCCUGCUUUUGUGGGGCGCUCGAGUGGCGAACGGGUGAGUAACACGUGAGUAACCUGCCCUUGACUUUGGGAUAACUUCAGGAAACUGGGGCUAAUACCGGAUAGGAGCUCCUGCUGCAUGGUGGGGGUUGGAAAGUUUCGGCGGUUGGGGAUGGACUCGCGGCUUAUCAGCUUGUUGGUGGGGUAGUGGCUUACCAAGGCUUUGACGGGUAGCCGGCCUGAGAGGGUGACCGGCCACAUUGGGACUGAGAUACGGCCCAGACUCCUACGGGAGGCAGCAGUGGGGAAUAUUGCACAAUGAGCGGAAGCCUGAUGCAGCAACGCCGCGUGCGGGAUGACGGCCUUCGGGUUGUAAACCGCUUUCGCCUGUGACGAAGCGUGAGUGACGGUAAUGGGUAAAGAAGCACCGGCUAACUACGUG